GAUCAUUACUGAAUGUAUGGAGAAUGCUUGAUGCGGUCUCAAAAGGACCAGCUCGGCUCUCUAUUAUCCAAACAAACACUUGUGAACCCCCUAGAGAGAUCAGCGGAGGCGGAAAAUUAGUUUUCCGUCUUUCUUUUCUCUUGCUUUAAAAAACACUUUAUAAAUUUUGAACGUUUAUUGUGCCGUCAAAGGCCUUAAUCAUAUAUACAACUUUUAACAACGGAUCUCUUGGCUCUCGCAUCGAUGAAGAACGCAGCGAAAUGCGAUACGUAAUGUGAAUUGCAGAAUUCAGUGAAUCAUCGAAUUUUUGAACGCAUCUUGCGCCCUUUGGUAUUCCGAAGGGCACGCCUGUUCGAGUGUUGUGAAGCUCUCAACUUUGUGAAUUUUUAUUAGUUUGCAGAGUUGGAUUUGGGCAUUGCCGUCUUGCUUGAUUGCGAACGGCUGGCCUUAAAAGCAUUAGCUGGUUUCUUGUGGUUAUGCUCAGCGUGAUAAUUUCUGACCGUUGAGCGCAUUUCUUUGGAAAUGGCCCGGAGCGAACUGCUUCUAACUCGGGUUUAGACACCUAAUUUUCAACCUUUAACCUCGAAUCAGGCGGGACUACCCGCUGAACUUAAGCAUAUCANUAAGCGGGAGGAAAAGAAACUAACAAGGAUUCCCCUAGUAMCGGCGAGUGAAGCGGGAUGAGCUCAAAUUUAAAAUCUGGCAGUCUUCGAUUGUCCGAGUUGUAAUCUAGAGAAGCGUUUUCCGCGCUGGACUGCGUACAAGUUUCCUGGAUACGGAACAUCAUAGAGGGUGAGAAUCCCGUCCUUGACGCAGGCUACCAGGGCUAUGUGAUGCGCUCUCGACGAGUCGAGUUGUUUGGGAUUGCAGCUCAAAAUGGGAGGUAAAUUCCUUCUAAAGCUAAAUAUUGGCGAGAGACCGAUAGCGAACAAGUACCGUGAGGGAAAGAUGAAAAGCACUUUGGAAAGAGAGUUAAACAGUACGUGAAAUUGUUAAAAGGGAAACGAUUGAAGUCAGUCGCGUUUGCUUGGACUCAGCCUUACUUCGGUGGGGUGCAUUUCCUUGUAGACGGGCCAACGUCUAUGUUGCGAGCUGGAAAAUGGGCGGAGGAAUGUGGCUUCUUCGGGAGUGUUAUAGCCUCUGUUCGCAUGCAGCUUGGGAUAUAGAGUGGAACAGCCAUGCU
Molecule: ribosomal RNA, 1183 nt
Filed under: uncultured fungus
Lineage: Eukaryota; Fungi
Description: eukaryotic LSU rRNA
Rfam family: Eukaryotic large subunit ribosomal RNA (bases 578-1183)
Source: RNAcentral